This 517-nucleotide ribosomal RNA is filed under the name uncultured bacterium. RNAcentral's name for it is "partial 16S ribosomal RNA". It matches the Rfam family "Bacterial small subunit ribosomal RNA", at positions 29 to 523 of the family's 1533-position model. The record is from RNAcentral.
AACGAACGCUGGCGGCGUGGAUAAGACAUGCAAGUCGAACGGGAUUUUUUCCUGUAGCAAUACAGGAAAAAGUCUAGUGGCGAACGGGUGCGUAACACGUGAGCAACCUGCCGUGAAGUGGGGGAUGGCUCGCCGAAAGGCGAAUUAAUACCGCAUGUGGCCAAGGAAGACAUCUUCCUGACGCCAAAGCCGGGGCAACCUGGCGCUUCUCGAGGGGCUCGCGGCCUAUAAGCUUGUUGGUGAGGUAACGGCUCACCAAGGCUAUGACGGGUGGCUGGCCUGAGAGGACGACCAGCAGAACUGGAACUAAGACACGGUCCAGACACCUACGGGUGGCAGCAGUCGAGAAUUUUUCACAAUGGGGGAAACCCUGAUGGAGCGACGCCGCGUGGAGGAUGAAGGUUUUCGGAUUGUAAACUCCUGUCAUUAGAGAACAAGGCACACGGUUUAACUGGCCGUGUGUUGAUAGUAUCUGAAGAGGAAGAGACGGCUAACUCUGUGCCAGCAGCCGCCGUAA